RNAcentral lists this ribosomal RNA (497 nucleotides) under uncultured bacterium. RNAcentral's name for it is "partial 16S ribosomal RNA". It matches the Rfam family "Bacterial small subunit ribosomal RNA", at positions 28 to 507 of the family's 1533-position model. The record is from RNAcentral.
GAUGAACGCUGGCGGCGUGCCUUAUACAUGCAAGUCGAGCGGACGCACGAGAAGCAUGCUGCUCUGAUGUUAGCGACGGGCGGGUGAUUAAUACGUAGAUAACCUAUCUAUAAGGCUGACAUAACGUCGGCAAACCUGAUCUAACACCCGAUAAUAGGUUGAACCGCAUGGUUCAAAAGGGAAAGACCGUCUUGCGCUCACGUAUACAUGGAAGCACGGUGCAUUAGCUAGUUGGUAAGGUAACGGCUUACCAAGGCAACGAUGCAUAGCCGACCUGAGAGGGUGAUCGGCCACACUGGGACUGAGACACGGUCCAGACUCCUACGGGAGGCAGCAGUAGGGAAUCUUGCGCAAUGGGCGAAAGCCUGACGGAGCCAUGCCGCGUGCGUGAUGAAGGUCUUCGGAUCGUAAACCUCUGUUAUUAGGGACGAAAAUAUGUGUACGAAAAUAGACACAUAAUGACGGUACCUAAUGAGAAAGCACCGGCUAACUACGUG